RNAcentral lists this ribosomal RNA (468 nucleotides) under uncultured bacterium. Its description in RNAcentral is "partial 16S ribosomal RNA". It matches the Rfam family "Bacterial small subunit ribosomal RNA", at positions 28 to 507 of the family's 1533-position model. The record is from RNAcentral.
GACGAACGCUGGCGGCGUGCUUAACACAUGCAAGUCGAACGGAAAGGCCCUGCUUUUGUGGGGUGCUCGAGUGGCGAACGGGUGAGUAACACGUGAGUAACCUGCCCUUGACUUUGGGAUAACUUCAGGAAACUGGGGCUAAUACCGGAUAGGAGCUCCUGCUGCAUGGUGGGGGUUGGAUAGUUUCGGCGGUUGGGGAUGGACUCGCGGCUUAUCAGCUUGUUGGUGGGGUAGUGGCUUACCAAGGCUUUGACGGGUAGCCGGCCUGAGAGGGUGACCGGCCACAGUGGGACUAAGGUACGGCCCAGACUCCUACGGGAGGCAGCAGUUGGGAAUAUUGCACAAGGGGCGGAAGCCUGAUGCAGUAACGCCGCGUGCGGGAUGACGGCCUUCGGGUUGUAAACCGCUUUCGCCUGUGACGAAGCGUGAGUGACGGUAAUGGGUAAAUAAGCACCGGCUAACUACGUG